This 1019-nucleotide ribosomal RNA is filed under the name uncultured bacterium. RNAcentral describes it as "bacterial SSU rRNA". It matches the Rfam family "Bacterial small subunit ribosomal RNA", at positions 355 to 1375 of the family's 1533-position model. The record is from RNAcentral.
UGAGGAAUAUUGGUCAAUGGGCGAGAGCCUGAACCAGCCAAGUAGCGUGCAGGAUGACGGCCCUAUGGGUUGUAAACUGCUUUUAUAAGGGAAUAAAGUGAGUCUCGUGAGACUUUUUGCAUGUACCUUAUGAAUAAGGACCGGCUAAUUCCGUGCCAGCAGCCGCGGUAAUACGGAAGGUCCGGGCGUUAUCCGGAUUUAUUGGGUUUAAAGGGAGCGUAGGCCGGAGAUUAAGCGUGUUGUGAAAUGUAGACGCUCAACGUCUGCACUGCAGCGCGAACUGGUUUCCUUGAGUACGCACAAAGUGGGCGGAAUUCGUGGUGUAGCGGUGAAAUGCUUAGAUAUCACGAAGAACUCCGAUUGCGAAGGCAGCUCACUGGAGCGCAACUGACGCUGAAGCUCGAAAGUGCGGGUAUCGAACAGGAUUAGAUACCCUGGUAGUCCGCACGGUAAACGAUGGAUGCCCGCUGUUGGUCUGAACAGGUCAGCGGCCAAGCGAAAGCAUUAAGCAUCCCACCUGGGGAGUACGCCGGCAACGGUGAAACUCAAAGGAAUUGACGGGGGCCCGCACAAGCGGAGGAACAUGUGGUUUAAUUCGAUGAUACGCAAGGAACCUUACCCGGGCUUGAAUUGCAGAGGAAGGAUUUGGAGACAAUGACGCCCUUCGGGGCCUCUGUGAAGGUGCUGCAUGGUUGUCGUCAGCUCGUGCCGUGAGGUGUCGGCUUAAGUGCCAUAACGAGCGCAACCCCUCUCCUUAGUUGCCAUCAGGUCAUGCUGGGCACUCUGGGGACACUGCCACCGUAAGGUGUGAGGAAGGUGGGGAUGACGUCAAAUCAGCACGGCCCUUACGUCCGGGGCUACACACGUGUUACAAUGGCAGGUACAGAGAGACGGUUGUACGUAAGUACGAUCAAAUCCUUAAAGCCUGUCUCAGUUCGGACUGGGGUCUGCAACCCGACCCCACGAAGCUGGAUUCGCUAGUAAUCGCGCAUCAGCCAUGGCGCGGUGAAUACGUUCCC